Molecule: ribosomal RNA, 468 nt
Filed under: uncultured bacterium
Lineage: Bacteria
Description: partial 16S ribosomal RNA
Rfam family: Bacterial small subunit ribosomal RNA
Source: RNAcentral
GACGAACGCUGGCGGCGUGCUUAACACAUGCAAGUCGAACGGAAAGGCCCUGCUUUUGUGGGGUGCUCGAGUGGCGAACGGGUGAGUAACACGUGAGUAACCUGUCCUUGACUUUGGGAUAACUUCAGGAAACUGGGGCUAAUACCGGAUAGGAGCUCCUGCUGCAUGGUGGGGGUUGGAAAGUUUCGGCGGUUGGGGAUGGACUCGCGGCUUAUCAGCUUGUUGGUGGGGUAGUGGCUUACCAAGGCUUUGACGGGUAGCCGGCCUGAGAGGGGUACCGGCCACAUGGCGACUGAGAUACGGACCAGACUCCUACGGGAGGCAGCAGUGGAGAAUCUUGCGCAGUGGGCGGAAGCCUGAUGCAGCAACGCCGCGUGCGGGAUGACGGCCUUCGGGUGGUGAACCGCUUUCGCCUGUGACGAGGCGUGAGUGACGGUAAUGGGUAAAAAAGCACCGGCUAACUACGUG